RNAcentral lists this unclassified non-coding RNA (390 nucleotides) under Melitaea cinxia (Glanville fritillary). RNAcentral describes it as "misc RNA ENSMCXG00005021042.1". The record is from RNAcentral. Lineage: Eukaryota; Metazoa; Arthropoda; Insecta; Lepidoptera; Nymphalidae.
GUCGGUCUAGCCAGUCGGAGGACAUCCCACACUACUUUUACCAACGGUUUUCACUGCAGGACACGAUUGUUCCAGCAGCCAUCAGCCCUGCGACAUAUGUGAUCAGCCCACUGCACUUCAACAUGCUGGUUCUACGGGCAAGUCGGUUACUUUCAAAUGUUAACCUACAUUAUUAUUCUUUACAUAUUCACUCACUCAGCCACGUACGUUGUAACCACUCCCCUUCUAUGAUGACUUAAACAUCUUUGUUUGUGUAAGUCUAGAAUUGCCACAAUUAUGAACAACACUUGUUUUCAUACGGCAGUUUAAGUACCAUAUACCAUUAGUUUUAAUUUUUGUAGUUGUAUCAUUAUCCUCCAAUUUCGCAGCAUUGUUGUCUUUACAGGAAAC